This 856-nucleotide long non-coding RNA is filed under the name Astyanax mexicanus (Mexican tetra). RNAcentral describes it as "lncRNA (ENSAMXG00005004847.1)". Lineage: Eukaryota; Metazoa; Chordata; Actinopteri; Characiformes; Acestrorhamphidae. The record is from RNAcentral.
UGCUGAUUGAAGGGUCGCUUGGCUAAUCAGCUCGCUGGCCGCGCGCUGUCAGUCCGGAUGGAGAGUUUAGUGAAGGGGAGAAAUGGCGUAGUUGUGUGAAGCGGGCCGGGUCCGGCCGAACCACGCGAAGAAACCGGACCCCGCGGCCCGCUGGAACACAGCAGAGCAUGGGGGAACGGACCGGACCGGUCCUUUUAUCACUGCAGCGGCCGGGAGGAGGAUGACUUGUGUUUCCUGUCCUGCUAAAGGAACUGUUUCAACAUGUUUUGCUGUAAGACAACAAAAGAACCAUUAACUGAUUUUCUUAACUUCAUCCCUGGAUAGAAAUUCACACAAUGACCGACCUUCACGGAUGAGAAGUCAUGAUGGCUGGCCUCAGAACUGAAGUCUGGAUCCACAUUCCUGUCCAUUCAGCUUCUGACUUCUUCCAGAAGUUCACACACAGUUAGCUGGAAACAAGUUCUCAUCUGUUAUGUUACAUGUCUGACCCACUUUUAUUACAGAACCUACAGACGCAUAGGUAUACUAUAAUAUGACCACAUGUCAUUUCCAUCAUAAUUUGAACUGAAGAGUUUUCAAAGUGUAUUAGCUUACAAUCAUAAAUCUAUAAAUAGAUUCUAAAGUGGCUGGGUUUUUUUUAAUCUUCAUUUUUCACUGCUCCUGCUGGUAAGAAAUCAAUUUGCAUUUUGCAUUGUGGAUUAUUCUAGAUUGAUUUUGUGAUGAUUUGUGAAGAAUUCUCGUGUUAUUUUCUUCAGCUAGUUCAGUCAGGACCAUUGCUAAUUUUCCUAACAGCUAAGGCAGCUAGCUACUAAUUAGCAGUUAAUAAAGGUAUGUAGGCUAAUUGUUAGCUACUACA